UGGCUCAGUGGUAGAGUGCUUGCCUUGCAUGCAUGAGGCCCUGGGUUAAAUUCCCAC
RNAcentral lists this transfer RNA (57 nucleotides) under Dipodomys ordii (Ord's kangaroo rat). It matches the Rfam family "tRNA", at positions 8 to 63 of the family's 71-position model. Rfam says of the family: Transfer RNA (tRNA) molecules are approximately 80 nucleotides in length. Their secondary structure includes four short double-helical elements and three loops (D, anti-codon, and T loops). Lineage: Eukaryota; Metazoa; Chordata; Mammalia; Rodentia; Heteromyidae. The record is from Rfam by way of RNAcentral.